UGGUGGCCUUUUUGUUCUU
RNAcentral lists this unclassified non-coding RNA (19 nucleotides) under Mus musculus (house mouse). Its description in RNAcentral is "oocyte_clustered_small_RNA9024". The record is from RNAcentral. Lineage: Eukaryota; Metazoa; Chordata; Mammalia; Rodentia; Muridae.